This 484-nucleotide ribosomal RNA is filed under the name uncultured bacterium. Its description in RNAcentral is "partial 16S ribosomal RNA". It matches the Rfam family "Bacterial small subunit ribosomal RNA", at positions 30 to 507 of the family's 1533-position model. The record is from RNAcentral.
AUUGAACGCUGGCGGCAGGCCUAACACAUGCAAGUCGAGCGGAUGAAGAGAGCUUGCUCCUGGAUUCAGCGGCGGACGGGUGAGUAAUGCCUAGGAAUCUGCCUGGUAGUGGGGGAUAACGUCCGGAAACGGGCGCUAAUACCGCAUACGUCCUGAGAGAGAAAGUGGGGGAUCUUCGGACCUCACGCUAUCAGAUGAGCCUAGGUCGGAUUAGCUAGUUGGUGGGGUAAAGGCCUACCAAGGCGACGAUCCGUAACUGGUCUGAGAGGAUGAUCAGUCACACUGGAACUGAGACACGGUCCAGACUCCUACGGGAGGCAGCAGUGGGGAAUAUUGGACAAUGGGCGAAAGCCUGAUCCAGCCAUGCCGCGUGUGUGAAGAAGGUCUUCGGAUUGUAAAGCACUUUAAGUUGGGAGGAAGGGCAGUAAGUUAAUGCCUUGCUGUUUUGACGUUACCAACAGAAUAAGCACCGGCUAACUUCGUG